Molecule: ribosomal RNA, 468 nt
Filed under: uncultured bacterium
Lineage: Bacteria
Description: partial 16S ribosomal RNA
Rfam family: Bacterial small subunit ribosomal RNA
Source: RNAcentral
GACGAACGCUGGCGGCGUGCUUAACACAUGCAAGUCGAACGGAAAGGCCCUGCUUUUGUGGGGUGCUCGAGUGGCGAACGGGUGAGUAACACGUGAGUAACCUGCCCUUGACUUUGGGAUAACUUCAGGAAACUGGGGCUAAUACCGGAUAGGAGCUCCUGCUGCAUGGUGGGGGUUGGAAAGUUUCGGCGGUUGGGGAUGGACUCGCGGCUUAUCAGCUUGUUGGUGGGGUAGUGGCUUACCAAGGCUUUGACGGGUAGCCGGCCUGAGAGGGUGACCGGCCACAUUGGGACUGGGAUACGGCCCAGACUCCUACGGGAGGCAGCAGUGGGGAAUAUUGCACAAUGGGCGGAAGCCUGAUGCAGCAACGCCGCGUGCGGGAUGACGGCCUUCGGGUUGUAAACCGCUUUCGCCUGUGACGAAGCGUGAGUGACGGCAAUGGGUAAAGAAGCACCGGCUAACUACGUG